RNAcentral lists this transfer RNA (68 nucleotides) under Macrosaldula sp. PJ-2017. RNAcentral's name for it is "tRNA-Phe". The record is from RNAcentral. Lineage: Eukaryota; Metazoa; Arthropoda; Insecta; Hemiptera; Saldidae.
ACUUAAAUAGCUUAAAUUUUAAAGCACAAUAUUGAAGAUAUUGGGAUAAGUUUUUUACUUUUUAAGUA